UGAGACCUGGGAUGGGAAGCGGGGAGGCCGUGCUAGGCUGGGCUCUGGGGUGCAGGCGAGGGGAGAGGUAGGGGACAGGGCUGGACGUUUGGAAACCAAGAGAGGAGGGACUGGGGACCCCGGGUCCUGGAUGUCCGAUGGAAUAGAGGCUGCAAGAGGCGGUCCAGGAGGACUCAAGACUGGUCGUUCAGCCUGGGGGUUUGCCCUGGACCCUUGUUUCGGCUCUGGGGGCAUGUACUGGUGGUAUGUCAGGUUCCCCUUGGGCUUCGGCUCUCUCCAGUGUCUGGAGAUCUUAGGAGAGUCCUGAAAAAGCAGGAGGCGUGGCUACAGGAGGUCCGUGGCGGUGAUUGGCCGGCAGUUCCUGCUGCUCGAGAUCCCAGAGGAGGCGGCGGAGCCUGCGCAGUUCACGGUGGAGGGCGUCGUCCGUCACUGGACCCGUGAGGCAAAGGCGCGAGCUGCCCAAGGGCAGGAUGAGGGGAGGAUGGGAGGAGAAGCUUUCAAAGAUGUCUCCUAUAAAACCGAAGAACACAGAGUUAAAUUCUGCAAACGGGCAGGAGGCAGUAGUGUCGAGGAGAGCCUAGGUUGCGCCACUCCCGAAAGUAGGAAAAACGUAACCCUUUCGCAACUUCUGGAGUAGGAUCCCCUCAAACGCUACUCUUGGAGUCCCCAAGCAUCAUGGGAGUUGUAGUUCAGACUAUGAAAGGCCAUCAUUGCCUGGGAAACGGGCGAUGUAGUUGGGUUCUUGGGUCCGAGAGGAAGGAAGAAGGGCUGGGAAGUUCGUUUUACGGAUUCCUUAGAGUGAAGGGGCCUGGAACCCGGACUUAGCAUCUCUCUCUGCAGGGGGAGGAUCCCAAGCAGGUGGAGGACCGCGGCCAGGACCCAGCUGGUAGUGGCUGAGCAGAUGGUGGAGCUGAGCAGGGGUCAGUGUGGGGUGGUCAGUUCGUAGGCUGCUCCAUGAAGCCUGGUGGAAAGAUGAGCUGCUAAUGCAUCACCUAUGGUGUCUGAGCUGGGACUGUGGAGAACAUGGAGUCCAAGGAGCAAUCCAAGGUACUUUUCCAGUCUGACCCUCACCUCGUUCCAUCAGCGAGUUGAGAAGGGACGCAUUGGAGAAGAAGAACAAGUAGCCGAAAGUCUGAGACACAAGGUCCGGGUGCAGCUCGCACUGGCUAGUCAGUUCCAGGGCUGCCUGGAACACGCCCAGGGCUCUACCAUUUCUGUCUCUCAAAGAAUGGAUGCUUCUCAGGAGAUCUUUCACCAGUGGACUCUCCCAUCUUCUCACCUCCUGAAUGGACUCCUUCAAGGCAAUCCCCUCCUACAGUGGACUCUCCCAUAACAUCCAGCCCAAAGAACGUGUGCUUCCAAGAACACCACAUCCCCGUUACUAAAAUGCACUGUCCCACUACCCUCAUUCUCAAAGAAUGGACCUUCCCAAGGAAACCUUCUUCUAGGAACUCUCCCAUUUCCCUGACGGUGGCCCUGUUUGCCCACCAUUCCACCCCUGUGAUGGAGGCUUUUCAAGACAUUUCCCCUCCCAACAAUAGUUUCUCUCAAUAUUCCCAAAGCAAGGAGUAGAUACCUUUUAAGAGACUUUGCCUUUGAACAGUUUUCUUCCAUUAUCUCCACCCCAUGAAUGCACGCUUCCAAGGAGACCCACUUUCUACAACGAACUCUCAUUUUUCCCUUCAUGAUGAAUUCACUCCCAAGGUGUCCUCCUGCAAUAGACUCAUCUACUCCCCUCACUCCCAUGAUGGAGAAUUCCAAAGAUACUCUCCCUUCCAUCAAUGGAUGCCCUCAACAUUCUCAUCCCCCCAAAAAAGACAUCUCCAAGGAGAUCUACAUACAGUGGCAUGUCUAGUAAUCCCAUCUUAUAAACUGAUGUUUUCAAGGAGACCUUCUUAAACUGGAGUGUCCCAUUUCAUCUACCAAAGAUGUAUUCUAGAAGACCCCUUCCUAAAAAAGACUCUCUUAUCUGCAUCCUGUAAAAAUGGAAGCACUCAGUCUGAUCCUCUCCUAAAACCCUUUUGUUCCCUAUUCAUGUCUGAGAGAACAGUCAUCCAGAUAUUCAUAAAUCAUAAAUCUCCUUCCUACACUGAACUGUCCCAUCACCUCUACCCAUGGAUGGACAUUUCUAAAUCCCAUUCCUACAAUGGAUUCGCUCAUCUGCCUUUCAAGAAAAAUGGACCCUUCUAGUCUGACCACCUUCUAAAGACAGAAUCUCCUAUUUUCCAUCCCUGUGUGGAGAAAUGGAAUGAUCCAAAAUAUAUGAACCCCUUUUUACAGUGGCUCUCCUGUUCCUUAACCCAAGAAGGUUCUUCCACCUCACCUACAGUGAACUCAGAUUACAGACACCCAUGAAUAGACAAAUGCAAACAAAUUCCUUUCUACAAGAGAUGAAACUUAUUCCUGUUCCCAAGGAAUGAACACUUUCAAGAAAGCCUCUUUCUUAUCAAGAAAUUUCUCAUGAACCCUGCCCGAAAGAAUAGAUGUUUCCAAUGUGUCCCUCUCUUCCCAUAACAUACUCUCUUAUACUCUCAGGACAGAUCCUUCCAACAGACUCACAGACAUAGUAAACAAUCUUAUGGUUACUGGGGAAAGAGGGUAGGAAGGGAUAAAUUUGGGAGUUUGAGAUUUACAAAUGUUAGCCACUAUAUAUAAAAAUAGAUUUUAAAAAAAGUUUCUUCUGUAUAGCACAGGGGACUAUGUUCAAUAUCAAUAUCUAAUAACCUUUAAUGAAAAAAUAUGAAAAUGAAUAUAUGUAUGUAUAUGAAUGACUGGGACAUUGUGCUGUACACCAGAAAUUGACAUGUUGUAAUUGACUGUACUUCAAUUUAAAAAAAAGAAAGAAGAAAGAAAUAGACUUAGGAUAGAUCCUUGCAAUUUGACCACCUUUCCAAAAUAGAGCCUCCCAUCCUCCACCUUGUCUAGAGGGAUGGACUGUUAGAAGAUAUACAAAACCCUUCCUACAAUGAACUUGCCCUGUCCCCUUGCCCCAACAAGGAGGAAUGAAUUCCAAGGCAAGCUCUUCUCUGAAUAGUUUUAACCCCUCACCCAUAUACACAGCCAAGCCACCUAACCCAAUUGGCUCCCUCUCUAACAGUGAAAAUGGAACUGUUAAAUAAACUCUAUCACUUUCCAGA
Long non-coding RNA from Camelus dromedarius (Arabian camel), 3137 nucleotides. RefSeq lists it as uncharacterized. The transcript has 7 exons. The record is from RefSeq and is a predicted model, not a curated record. Lineage: Eukaryota; Metazoa; Chordata; Mammalia; Artiodactyla; Camelidae.